GGCCUAUCAGGACAGCACUAUAACAGAGGUCACAAGGUUAAACACAAAUAUACAUACAUAUUCUUAAAUUGCUCAUAACAACAAACCCCAUUUAAUUUCUACAUUAGGAGAUCCUUAAUGUCAUACCUUCAAAUUAAGUGAAACAUUUCUCUAUCAUUCAAUAUUCAUCUUAAUUUGCUGUCAUCUGUAUAACACACCCUUUAACCAAUCAGCUGCAGGUACCCACCUACUCACAAACAACAUAAAAGGGCUGCAACUGAGGCGUGCUUCCUCUUUAAUCACCAGCACAAGAUGGCCUCCACAAAGGACUCAAAGGACAGGUCCUGCAGUUGGCUGUCAUCAUAAAUGUACGGAGCAGAAGAAGAGUCCAGUGAUGCAGAGUGCAAGAAGCAGCAUCAAUCCCACACAAACUCCAAUAACAGCAGCAGCAGGAAACUCUGAGGGAGAAACUGGAACCAACACAGAACAUUCUCACUUUGUCUCCUCUCCUGGAUGGAGCUGAUGUUGACGCCACUUACCUCUGUU
Molecule: long non-coding RNA, 525 nt
Organism: Centropristis striata (black sea bass)
Lineage: Eukaryota; Metazoa; Chordata; Actinopteri; Perciformes; Serranidae
Exons: 3
Source: RefSeq, a predicted model, not a curated record